This 700-nucleotide ribosomal RNA is filed under the name uncultured bacterium. RNAcentral's name for it is "bacterial SSU rRNA". It matches the Rfam family "Bacterial small subunit ribosomal RNA", at positions 8 to 719 of the family's 1533-position model. The record is from RNAcentral.
AGAGUUUGAUCAUGGCUCAGAGUGAACGCUGGCGGCGUGCUUAACACAUGCAAGUCGAACGAGAACGGGUUAUAGCUUGCUAUAACUGUCAGCUAAGUGGCGCACGGGUGAGUAAUAUAUAGUUAAUCUGCCCUAGAGAGAGGAAUAACAAUUAGAAAUGAUUGCUAAUGCCUUAUAUGCCUUUAAGACAUAAGUCUGCAAGGGAAACAUUUAUGGCUCUAGGAUGAGACUGUACAGUAUCAGUUAGUUGGUGAGGUAAUGGCUCACCAAGACAAUGACGCUUAACUGGUUUGAGAGGAUGAUCAGUCACACUGGAACUGAGACACGGUCCAGACUCCUGCGGGAGGCAGCAGUGGGGAAUAUUGCACAAUGGACGAAAGUCUGAUGCAGCAACGCCGCGUGGAGGAUGACACUUUUCGGAGCGUAAACUCCUUUUAUAUGGGAAGAUAAUGACGGUACCAUAUGAAUAAGCACCGGCUAACUCCGUGCCAGCAGCCGCGGUAAUACGGAGGGUGCAAGCGUUACUCGGAAUCACUGGGCGUAAAGAGAAUGUAGGCGGAUAAAUAAGUCAGAUGUGAAAGCCAAUAGCUCAACUAUUGAACUGCAUUUGAAACUGUUAAUCUAGAAUAUGGGAGAGGUAGAUGGAAUUUCUGGUGUAGGGGUAAAAUCCGUAGAGAUCAGAAAGAAUACCGAUUGCGAA